CCUACGGGAGGCAGCAGUGAGGAAUAUUGGACAAUGGGCGCAAGCCUGAUCCAGCCAUGCCGCGUGCAGGAUGACGGUCCUAUGGAUUGUAAACUGCUUUUAUACAGGAAGAAACCCUGGUUCGUGAACCAGCUUGACGGUACUGUAAGAAUAAGGAUCGGCUAACUCCGUGCCAGCAGCCGCGGUAAUACGGAGGAUCCAAGCGUUAUCCGGAAUCAUUGGGUUUAAAGGGUCCGUAGGCGGUUUAAUAAGUCAGUGGUGAAAGCCCAUCGCUCAACGGUGGAACGGCCAUUGAUACUGUUAAACUUGAAUUAUUAGGAAGUAACUAGAAUAUGUAGUGUAGCGGUGAAAUGCUUAGAGAUUACAUGGAAUACCAAUUGCGAAGGCAGGUUACUACUAAUAUAUUGACGCUGAUGGACGAAAGCGUGGGUAGCGAACAGGAUUAGAUACCCUGGUAGUCCACGCCGUAAACGAUGGAUACUAGCUGUUGGGAGCAAUCUCAGUGGCUAAGCGAAAGUGAUAAGUAUCCCACCUGGGGAGUACGUUCGCAAGAAUGAAACUCAAAUGAAUUGACGG
This 576-nucleotide ribosomal RNA is filed under the name uncultured bacterium. RNAcentral's name for it is "bacterial SSU rRNA". It matches the Rfam family "Bacterial small subunit ribosomal RNA", at positions 338 to 916 of the family's 1533-position model. The record is from RNAcentral.